RNAcentral lists this ribosomal RNA (465 nucleotides) under Vreelandella stevensii. RNAcentral describes it as "partial 16S ribosomal RNA". It matches the Rfam family "Bacterial small subunit ribosomal RNA", at positions 338 to 795 of the family's 1533-position model. The record is from RNAcentral. Lineage: Bacteria; Pseudomonadati; Pseudomonadota; Gammaproteobacteria; Oceanospirillales; Halomonadaceae.
CCUACGGGAGGCAGCAGUGGGGAAUAUUGGACAAUGGGGGCAACCCUGAUCCAGCCAUGCCGCGUGUGUGAAGAAGGCCCUCGGGUUGUAAAGCACUUUCAGUGAGGAAGAACGCCUGGUGGUUAAUACCCAUCAGGAAAGACAUCACUCACAGAAGAAGCACCGGCUAACUCCGUGCCAGCAGCCGCGGUAAUACGGAGGGUGCGAGCGUUAAUCGGAAUUACUGGGCGUAAAGCGCGCGUAGGUGGCUUGAUAAGCCGGUUGUGAAAGCCCCGGGCUCAACCUGGGAACGGCAUCCGGAACUGUCAAGCUAGAGUGCAGGAGAGGAAGGUAGAAUUCCCGGUGUAGCGGUGAAAUGUGUAGAGAUCGGGAGGAAUACCAGUGGCGAAGGCGGCCUUCUGGACUGACACUGACACUGAGGUGCGAAAGCGUGGGUAGCAAACAGGAUUAGAUACCCCUGUAGUC